This 714-nucleotide ribosomal RNA is filed under the name Triticum aestivum (bread wheat). RNAcentral describes it as "partial small subunit ribosomal RNA". The record is from RNAcentral. Lineage: Eukaryota; Viridiplantae; Streptophyta; Magnoliopsida; Poales; Poaceae.
AUGAAAAUCCUAGGCUGGAACUGCCGUGGCAUGCUCUCCCCCACGGCAGUUCGCGAGCUCUUGGAUUUACAAGGGCGCAUCAAGGCAGAUUUGAUUUUUCUUUCUGAGUCUCAUUUGAAUAAAUGUAAAGCCGAUGAGUUGCGUACUGUUCUAAGUUUUGAGUCGAUGUUUGUAGCUGAGAGUGAUGGUCGGGCCGGUGGCCUUGUUUUAUUUUAUAAUGAGAUGAAUAAAGUCGUCUUGAACUAUGUGUCCGCUAAUUUCAUUGAUGUUUUGUUUAUGAAUGAGGAAACUGUACAAUGGCGGUUUACGGGUUUUUAUGGUCAUCCGAAUUGGAGUGAACGUAAUUUGUCUCGGGAUGAUAUUCGCAAUUUACAUAAUAAGGGCGAUCACCCUUGGGUUAUUUUGGGGGAUUUCAAUGAAAUUUUACUCUCCUCUGAGAAAGAGGGCAGUAACGCGAGACCAAAUGCAAUGAUGAGAGAUUUCCGUAAUUGUUUGGGAGAAUGUGGGCUGGCAGAUAUGGGUUAUAUUGGUGAUCUCUUCACCUGGAGGAGAGGCGAAGUUAGGGAGAGACUUGAUCGGGCAGUUUGUAAUGUGGAAUGGGCAAAUAAAUUUCCACGUGCUGCAGUCAUAAACGAAGAGCAUGUGCACUCUGACCAUCGCCCACUAGUUUUGGACACAGAUUAUUAUGAUGGAAAUAUAUUCAAUCAAUCAUAG